Molecule: ribosomal RNA, 258 nt
Filed under: uncultured Leptotrichia sp.
Lineage: Bacteria; Fusobacteriati; Fusobacteriota; Fusobacteriia; Fusobacteriales; Leptotrichiaceae
Description: partial 16S ribosomal RNA
Rfam family: Bacterial small subunit ribosomal RNA
Source: RNAcentral
UGGCGGACGGGUGAGUAACGCGUAAAGAAACUUGCCCUUUAGACUGGGAUAACAGAGGGAAACUUCUGAUAAUACUGGAUAAGUUAGUAUAUCGCAUGAUAUGCAAAUGAAAGCUACGGCACUAAAGGAGAGCUUUGCGUCCUAUUAGCUAGUUGGUAAGGUAAGAGCUUACCAAGGCGAUGAUAGGUAGCCGGCCUGAGAGGGUGGACGGCCACAGGGACUGAGAUACGGCCCUUACUCCUACGGGAGGCAGCAGCA